UACAGGAGUUAGAGGAGGAUGAACAUGGAGGCUGUGAUAUCUGCAUGUAUGAAAACAGUUCAGAAGGAACUGCUUGUGUCAAGGAUGGAGAGAAGAGAAGCACAUCAUAAAACAGGGAAAGGACGAUCCCUUGACAGCAGGGUGAGCACUCAGUGGAGAGUUUUAUAAGGGUUUAAGAGCAGCCAACACAGAGGUACAGCUGCUGGGCACUCACAGAAGAUGAAAUAAGAUCAAUGUAGCAGCAUGGGAGAUAGAUGAACAGAAAUCACCGUCUGAUCUCUGUAUCAGAAGAUGCUCCAGUGAGCAGCUGGAUAAAUCAAUGAUAGCACUCACGUGCUGGACUUUGAAACUGAGCACAAAGGGAUCUAGUCCAGCACACAACGUUUCUACCAUCACCCCAACCCAGGGCUGUGAAAAGCCAAGAACAGACUCCCAAGAAGACCAGAGAAAAGCAAGCUGACAAUAUAGGCAAGAAAGCUGGAACACCAAAAGGAAACAAGACACACGACAUCGACUUAAGAUACCAGGAGUGCUGAAUUGAUUUUGCAAUACCACAGUGCUAUAAUCACAGAAGAUAAGAUAUAGCUCCCAGUGAUGGAUGUGGUUGGAGAACCAGCACCUGGGACAACCAGAAGUGAGGGAUGUUUGACAGCCCCUGGGAUGGAAGUGAAGCACUGCUGGGGGAGUGCAGCCACCACCAGCUGAACUGCAGGCAGGGAAACUCCAUCACACUGACUCAGACCAACUCUGCUUUGAAUUAAAGCAUCUAUUUUAAUACAU
This is a long non-coding RNA of Coturnix japonica (Japanese quail), 780 nucleotides long. RefSeq lists it as uncharacterized. The record is from RefSeq and is a predicted model, not a curated record. NCBI's taxonomy places the organism in Eukaryota, Metazoa, Chordata, Aves, Galliformes, Phasianidae.